Molecule: transfer RNA, 72 nt
Filed under: Candidatus Shikimatogenerans bostrichidophilus
Lineage: Bacteria; Pseudomonadati; Bacteroidota; Flavobacteriia; Flavobacteriales
Description: tRNA-Gln
Rfam family: tRNA
About the family: Transfer RNA (tRNA) molecules are approximately 80 nucleotides in length. Their secondary structure includes four short double-helical elements and three loops (D, anti-codon, and T loops).
Source: RNAcentral
AGACUCGUGGUGUAAUGGUUAGCACUUCAGAUUUUGAUUCUGAUAGUUAAGGUUCGAACCCUUACGAGUCUA